This 527-nucleotide ribosomal RNA is filed under the name uncultured bacterium. RNAcentral's name for it is "bacterial SSU rRNA". It matches the Rfam family "Bacterial small subunit ribosomal RNA", at positions 8 to 526 of the family's 1533-position model. The record is from RNAcentral.
AGGGUUUGAUCAUGGCUCAGAUUGAACGCUGGCGGCAGGCUUAACACAUGCAAGUCGAGCGGUAACAGGGGAGCUUGCUCCUGCUGACGAGCGGCGGACGGGUGAGUAACGCGUAGGAAUCUGCCUAGUAGAGGGGGACAACAUGUGGAAACGCAUGCUAAUACCGCAUACGCCCUAAGGGGGAAAGGAGGGGACUUUUCGGAGCCUUCCGCUAUUAGAUGAGCCUGCGUAAGAUUAGCUAGUUGGUAGGGUAAAGGCCUACCAAGGCGACGAUCUUUAACUGGUCUGAGAGGAUGACCAGUCACACUGGGACUGAGACACGGCCCAGACUCCUACGGGAGGCAGCAGUGGGGAAUAUUGGACAAUGGGCGGAAGCCUGAUCCAGCCAUGCCGCGUGUGUGAAGAAGGCCUUAGGGUUGUAAAGCACUUUCAGGGGUGGGGAAGGGUAGCUAGUUAAUACCUAGUUAUCUUGACGUUAGCCCCAGAAGAAGCACCGGCUAACUCUGUGCCAGCCGCCGCGGUAAUAC